UACGGAGGGGACUAGCGUUGUUCGGAAUUACUGGGCGUAAAGCGCACGUAGGCGGAUUUGUAAGUCAGGGGUGAAAUCCCGGGGCUCAACCUCGGAACUGCCUUUGAUACUGCAAAUCUCGAGUCCGGAAGAGGUGAGUGGAAUUCCUAGUGUAGAGGUGAAAUUCGUAGAGAUUAGGAAGAACACCAGUGGCGAAGGCGGCUCACUGGUCCGGUACUGACGAUGAGGUGCGAAAGAGUGGGGAGCAAACAGG
This 253-nucleotide ribosomal RNA is filed under the name uncultured bacterium. RNAcentral describes it as "partial 16S ribosomal RNA". It matches the Rfam family "Bacterial small subunit ribosomal RNA", at positions 524 to 776 of the family's 1533-position model. The record is from RNAcentral.